AUAAAAUUCUAUUAAUUAAUCUCUAUUUCUUCAUGUGGAAGAAAAAUUUAGCUAAAUUAUUUUCUCGGAAGGUUAUAAAAAUAAGAAUCGCGCCAAAAACAAGAUGCCAACGCAAGUGUUAGCAACUUCGUGGACACGAUGGACGGCAUCUUUCAGCGAACGCCUGAAACGCUCAGAAAUUGCUCAACGAGAUUGCAUUAAAUGGCUUUCGCUAACAGUGUCUAAACAACAAGAAGGACAAUCGUAAUAGACGGUUCGAGAGUAACUUGAGAAAACGCGUGCCAAAGUUUACGACGGUACGAGCAACGGUAUAAAACCUAUUUCUGGUGAUAAAGAUGGAACAACUAUCUAACGGGUUUAAAGGAAAUGAAAAGGAAAGAAAAAACAAAAAGAAAACAAAAAGAAAAUUGACCAACUAAAAGGACGUUGCUCGCUGUAACAAUGAGGAAAGAUGAAAGAAAAAAAAAAAGAAA
This is a long non-coding RNA of Vespa crabro (European hornet), 473 nucleotides long. RefSeq lists it as uncharacterized. The transcript has 2 exons. Lineage: Eukaryota; Metazoa; Arthropoda; Insecta; Hymenoptera; Vespidae. The record is from RefSeq and is a predicted model, not a curated record.